UACGGAGGGUGCUAGCGUUGUUCGGAAUCACUGGGCGUAAAGCGCGUGUAGGCGGUCUGCUAAGUCUGAUGUGAAAGCCCGGGGCUCACCCCCGGAAGUGCAUUGGAAACUGACAGACUGGAGUCCCGGAGAGGAGGGUGGAAUUCCUGGUGUAGCGGUGAAAUGCGUAGAUAUCAGGAGGAACACCGGUGGCGAAGGCGGCCCUCUGGACGGUGACUGACGCUGAGACGCGAAAGCGUGGGGAGCAAACAGG
RNAcentral lists this ribosomal RNA (253 nucleotides) under uncultured bacterium. RNAcentral's name for it is "partial 16S ribosomal RNA". It matches the Rfam family "Bacterial small subunit ribosomal RNA", at positions 524 to 776 of the family's 1533-position model. The record is from RNAcentral.